CAAGAUUCGGCUAUGAGAAGUUCCUGAGCAUGGCGGCAUGGGCAUCGUGGCGUGGGAGCGCCGAUGGACUGGGCCGCUCGAAAGGAAGAGGUCCUUCCUGGCCCACCUAAUCGGUGUCGUUCAAAGACUUCAGAAGUUCAGCGGUGCGGAACUGCGGAGGCUGACAGCUGAGGCGGAGGAACCGUAACCACGCCGCCACCGCCCUUCUUCCGUAGUAUCGCUAGACGGACCCUUGACGCCUCGCGCCGCCACAGUUCGGCACCCGUGUCCCAUGGCCGCCGUCUUCGCCAGAUGAAUAUCUGUGCCAACAUUGGAGAAACUGUUCCUCUGCUCAACAAAUCUGAACAGCACAGGAUGAAACGGUGCGUACCAGGGCUGGCAAGCCGGAGGUACAGCUUCUCGCCAUAGUUGAUGCUUUUCCAGGUGUCGACAAGCUCCCCGGUCCAAACCAAGCACCUUGACUGGUCUUCCAUGGCACCGCUGCUGCUCAAGUUGGCGUAAGCAUAGGCGGUGCAGGAGCAGUUCUUGCUGCACUCAGCCGCGCACUGCUCAAAGCUUCUGUUCCGGAGGAGCACGAACUUGUCAGGAACUCUCAUCCCGGGCAAGGCCACGAAGUGACUUGCCUUGCUGCACUGCAGAGGCUCCGUUCUCCGGCAUCCUUCUGAAGAGUUGAGAUCGGCGGCGACGGGCUCGAAGCCCUCGAGGCACUGGCACGCCGGGGCAGCCCCGGUGAAGUCGCAGUAGGCGUUGGGGCCACAGGAGCCAUAGAGGCCGUAGCCACCGGUGGGGCGCUCGGAGAUGAGCGUCCAGGACGACGAGUUGGUGUCCCAGCUCAGGAGCUUCAUCGUGCCGGUGUGGUCGAGCAUGAUACGGAAGUACGGCGAGCCGUCGGAGACGGUGUACGUGAGGUAGAACUCGUCGCCGGUGUUGACGAUGGUCUGGUACACGAUGGAGCUAGGUGAGCCGGUGUACAUGCCGCCUGACACCGACACGCCGUUCCACACGCUGAUGCGGCAGUACGGCUCGGCCCCGUGCCAGACCAUCAGCUGGAGGUUGGAGACGGGGUCGAGGCCGAACGAGAAGGCUCCGGUGGACGGGUCGGCGGGGCCUCUCCAAGAGACCAGGCGCGCGGCGGGGCGAGCCCCGUGGAUCAUCAGGAACCGCAUGCCUGGGAGAAUGGUGUCAGUCGGGUGGUCGAAGCUCUGCCAUAUGACCGUACCGUUGGGCAGCUGGAGUUGCAGGUUGCCCGUGUCGAGCAGCACGGCCAGGGGAGUGCCGCUGUCGUGGACGGCCGCGGCGGCGGCGUUCUGCGUCCUCCAGAGAGUGCGGCCCUGGGAGUCCGAAAGCACGAGGUCAAAGCUGUUGCUGAUGGCGAGCGUCGGGGACGACGAUGUGGUGGCUGGGCUGUCGCGGUUGGCGACCCACACGACGGUGCGGCUGCGCUCGGGGAUGCCGUGGAACCAGAUCGCAACGUACAGGCUCGUGCUGGUGUUGGAGCCGGACGGGGAGAAGAAACCGAGGGCAAAGACGCCGCCUUUGGAGAUGAGCAGGUCGCCGGGUGAAAGUGGCCUUGCGCUUGCCAGCUGGUCAUCGGAUUUGCAGACACGGAUCAUCAGGAGGAGCAGGAGGAUGGAAAUGGUAAGGCUGGUCAUAUCCAUUCUAUGGUUAUGCUCAUCACUGACGAGUAUAGAUCAGGGACCACGAAAAUGGCACCAAGAUAUAGAUCAGAGAUUGUACACAUGGACAAGGUGGAGUCGUAAGUUCACCGGGUGUAGUCUGACAAAUUUGAUGAAAAUGCAAAACGUCAAUGCCGUGUAAUGGUCUAAAAUAUUUAACAAUACAUUAUGAACAAUGCCCGGUGUUUCAU
RNAcentral lists this long non-coding RNA (1867 nucleotides) under Zea mays. Its description in RNAcentral is "uncharacterized LOC100381516, transcript variant 1 (LOC100381516)". Lineage: Eukaryota; Viridiplantae; Streptophyta; Magnoliopsida; Poales; Poaceae. The record is from RNAcentral.